This 82-nucleotide non-coding RNA is filed under the name unclassified sequences. The record is from RNAcentral.
GGCCCGGGCUUUGUCCGGGCUUUUUCGUAAACUCACUACCAUUUGGUAACGGUUGCAAGUCCGUAAAAAGAGCGAGCACGAA